RNAcentral lists this ribosomal RNA (1470 nucleotides) under metagenome. Its description in RNAcentral is "bacterial SSU rRNA". It matches the Rfam family "Bacterial small subunit ribosomal RNA". The record is from RNAcentral.
AGAGUUUGAUCCUGGCUCAGGACGAACGCUGGCGGCACGCUUAACACAUGCAAGUCGAACGAGAGAAGAGGAGCUUGCUUUUCUGAUCUAGUGGCGGACGGGUGAGUAACACGUGAGCAAUCUGCCUUUCAGAGGGGGAUACCGAUUGGAAACGAUCGUUAAUACCGCAUAACAUAAUUGAACCGCAUGAUUUGAUUAUCAAAGAUUUAUCGCUGAAAGAUGAGCUCGCGUCUGAUUAGCUAGUUGGUAAGGUAACGGCUUACCAAGGCGACGAUCAGUAGCCGGACUGAGAGGUUGAUCGGCCACAUUGGGACUGAGACACGGCCCAGACUCCUACGGGAGGCAGCAGUGGGGAAUAUUGCACAAUGGAGGAAACUCUGAUGCAGCGAUGCCGCGUGAGGGAAGAAGGUUUUAGGAUUGUAAACCUCUGUCUUCAGGGACGAAAAAAGACGGUACCUGAGGAGGAAGCUCCGGCUAACUACGUGCCAGCAGCCGCGGUAAUACGUAGGGAGCGAGCGUUGUCCGGAAUUACUGGGUGUAAAGGGAGCGUAGGCGGGAUCGCAAGUCAGAUGUGAAAACUAUGGGCUUAACCCAUAAACUGCAUUUGAAACUGUGGUUCUUGAGUGAAGUAGAGGUAAGCGGAAUUCCUAGUGUAGCGGUGAAAUGCGUAGAUAUUAGGAGGAACAUCAGUGGCGAAGGCGGCUUACUGGGCUUUAACUGACGCUGAGGCUCGAAAGCGUGGGGAGCAAACAGGAUUAGAUACCCUGGUAGUCCACGCCGUAAACGAUUAUUACUAGGUGUGGGGGGACUGACCCCUUCCGUGCCGCAGCAAACGCAAUAAGUAAUCCACCUGGGGAGUACGACCGCAAGGUUGAAACUCAAAGGAAUUGACGGGGGCCCGCACAAGCAGUGGAGUAUGUGGAUUAAUUCGAAGCAACGCGAAGAACCUUACCAGGUCUUGACAUCGUAUGCAUAGCUCAGAGAUGAGUGAAAUCUCUUCGGAGACAUAUAGACAGGUGGUGCAUGGUUGUCGUCAGCUCGUGUCGUGAGAUGUUGGGUUAAGUCCCGCAACGAGCGCAACCCUUACUGUUAGUUGCUACGCAAGUGCACUCUAGCAGGACUGCCGUUGACAAAACGGAGGAAGGUGGGGAUGACGUCAAAUCAUCAUGCCCCUUAUGACCUGGGCCUCACACGUACUACAAUGGCUGUCAACAGAGGGAAGCAAAGCCGCGAGGUGGAGCGAACCCCUAAAAGCAGUCUUAGUUCGGAUUGUAGGCUGCAACCCGCCUACAUGAAGUCGGAAUUGCUAGUAAUCGCAGAUCAGCAUGCUGCGGUGAAUACGUUUCCGGGCCUUGUACACACCGCCCGUCACGCCAUGGGAGUCGGUAACACCCGAAGCCUGUAGUCUAACCGCAAGGAGGACGCAGUCGAAGGUGGGAUUGAUGACUGGGGUGAAGUCGUAACAAGGUA